RNAcentral lists this ribosomal RNA (269 nucleotides) under uncultured prokaryote. Its description in RNAcentral is "partial 16S ribosomal RNA". It matches the Rfam family "Bacterial small subunit ribosomal RNA", at positions 524 to 792 of the family's 1533-position model. The record is from RNAcentral.
UACGGAGGAUCCGAGCGUUAUCCGGAUUUAUUGGGUUUAAAGGGUGCGCAGGCGGGAGAUUAAGUCGGCGGUGAAAUUUUGCAGCUCAACUGUAAAAGUGCCUUCGAAACUGGUUUCCUUGAGUGUAGAUGAAGUAGGCGGAAUUUGUGGUGUAGCGGUGAAAUGCAUAGAUAUUACACAGAACACCGAUUGCGAAGGCAGCUUACUAAUCCAUCAUUGACGCUGAGGCACGAAAGCGUGGGGAUCAAACAGGAUUAGAUACCCGCGUA